RNAcentral lists this non-coding RNA (30 nucleotides) under Cricetulus griseus (Chinese hamster). The record is from RNAcentral. Lineage: Eukaryota; Metazoa; Chordata; Mammalia; Rodentia; Cricetidae. RNAcentral also lists the same sequence under 1 other name.
AGCCCAUGAUGGUAUGAGAGUAGUGGACAG